RNAcentral lists this transfer RNA (73 nucleotides) under Stichococcus bacillaris. RNAcentral's name for it is "tRNA-Arg". It matches the Rfam family "tRNA". From Rfam's summary of the family: Transfer RNA (tRNA) molecules are approximately 80 nucleotides in length. The record is from RNAcentral. Lineage: Eukaryota; Viridiplantae; Chlorophyta; Trebouxiophyceae; Prasiolales; Stichococcaceae.
GGGUGUGUAGCUCAGUGGAUAGAGCGUGUGGCUACGGACCACAAAGUCGGGGGUUCAACUCCCUCCUCACUCA